Molecule: ribosomal RNA, 562 nt
Filed under: Amanita peckiana
Lineage: Eukaryota; Fungi; Basidiomycota; Agaricomycetes; Agaricales; Amanitaceae
Description: SSU rRNA
Rfam family: Bacterial small subunit ribosomal RNA
Source: RNAcentral
AAGAGUGAACUAGCUAACUGAAAUCACUUGAGACAUAAAAAUGUUAAUUGUGAUAAGGUAAGGGAAAAAUUUGAUAUUACCUUACUAUUAGUGUUGUCCAAAACUGGUGCCAGAAGACUCGGUAAGACCAGAAACGCAAACGUUAAUCGUCUUAAUCAGGCGUAAAGGGUUUGUAGGCUGCUUUUACUAUUUCUAUUUAAAAUAGCUCUGUUGCUUUUGUAACAGUUAAAUAGAGAUAUAAUAAAAGCUAGAAUCAAAAAGAGGAUAAGCCGAAUAAUACUUAGAGUAGGGAUGAUAUCCAUAGAUACUAAGGGGAAUACUAAAGGUGAAAGCUUUUAUCUACUAAUGAUUGACGCUGAGGAACGAAGGUGAGAAUAGGAAAUAGGAUUAGAUACCCAGAUACCUCUCACUGUCAACGAUGAAUGGUGGUUUGUUAGUUUUAAUAAAAACUGAUAACGAUGCUAACGCGAUAACCAUUCCGCCUUGCGAGUACGGUUGCAAAACUGAAACCAAAAAAAUUAGUCGGUCUCGAAGCAAACGAAGUGGAGCAUGUUAUUUAAUU